Non-coding RNA from Microcebus murinus (gray mouse lemur), 1098 nucleotides. NCBI's taxonomy places the organism in Eukaryota, Metazoa, Chordata, Mammalia, Primates, Cheirogaleidae. The record is from RefSeq and is a predicted model, not a curated record.
CUCCGUCCUCCCGUUCCCAUCUGUGUGUGUCUCUCUUUAUUUCUCAUCCUCACCCCUGAACUCCAGGUUCCGCACGUCGCUGGCAGGUGGUGGCCCGUACGGGGGGUCUCUCUUUCUACGAGGGCCUUUAGUAGUGCUUGGAGAACCGGGACUCGGUGAAGGACGUCCGUUAACAAGGAUGCUGGAUGCAGGAGCCAUCACUGGAAAAUCGAAUGAAGAGGAUGAGACUCCAGUGUGUGACACCUCCGAGGCACAAAACCCUGCCCUCAACAGAACAAGCCCCCCUACCCGCGUGGGGCCAGAUCAAGAAAUUGGCUGAAAAAGCUCAGACACUGGUCAGUGAGACUGGACAACUGCUCACCUGCCACCACCGCCCGGGGUGCUUCCAUGUGAAAAGGAGCCCGUUGCUCCCGUUUUGCAUGUACCCUGGAGACGGUGUCGUGACCAAACUGCGGCACAAAUCUCUAUUCCUGGCAUCAAUCAGAACCUGUAUGUCUCUCUGGAUUUACUGCAACUCCAUCAGGAGAUUACAGGCAUGUUAGAUAUGCCUUCCCUUGAUACUAGUAUAGCUACGGAGGCUAGGGAUUUUGUUAAUCAACUCCUGGGCCAUGUCCCCUCUCUUACUGAUUUUAAAAGUUUGUUCUUUAUGGUUGUUGGAGUCUUUGCUCUCCUUCUACUUAUUUUGUGUGUUACCCCUGUUUUGCUUCGGCCAAUAACAAAAAAAAAAUAUUUUAGCCAUGAAGGCUGCUCUGUAUUCGACCAACCUACAGAUGAAAGCCUAUCAGCGGGCCCCUGUUUAAGGAAUAAAAAAUGGGGAGGUGUGGGGAGCUGUCCUGAAGACAGGAAUCUCGGGGCGUGGGUGCUGCCCAGAAAACUGGGGUCCUCAGUGACUCAGCACUUGCCCGCAGGUGGAGCUCUCCCAUCUUGGAUUCAACCGGUGUUCUUUGCUUUAGGCUUGGGUAAGCAACACAGUUAAUCAGUAGAUAAAAUUAGCCUCACUUGUUCCAGAGACUUUGCCCUGGAGCUAACAAUAGAAGAAAGUAGAUGAUGGACAUUGAUUACUUGUAAGCGUGACUAAAUAAAGGUCCUGUGAUGUUG